This 205-nucleotide long non-coding RNA is filed under the name Aquilegia coerulea. RNAcentral's name for it is "long non-coding RNA (ACOE_LNC001052)". The record is from RNAcentral. Lineage: Eukaryota; Viridiplantae; Streptophyta; Magnoliopsida; Ranunculales; Ranunculaceae.
UAUGAUUUUUGUUGCUUCCGUCUCGUCUCUAAUUGUCAAAGCUUCAUGUUCCCGUUGAUUAUCAUAUGAUGGUGAUUCAUUGCAUAUAUCUUGAAGCUUGUGUUGGUGUCUUAGGACGUGAUUUUCAAGAUGAUGAUCGUCUCACUGGUUAGUAUUGAGUGUGUGUUCUUGUAGGCAUGUAUUAUAAAUGCCGUUGUGUUUGGUU